GGAGGGGGGUGAGGAAUGAAAAGCUACCCACUGGGUACAAUGUACACUAUUUGGGUGAGGGACACACUAAAAGCCCAGACUUCACCACCAUGCAAUAUAUCCAUGUAACAAAAAUGCACUUGUACCCCCUAAAUCUGUUUUUUUAAAAAGGUCUUGCAGUGUGACUUGGUGGAUGCCAAGAAGGAGUUCUGGGAACUGGCCUUUCCUACAACAGAGAGAAUGCCUCCGAGACGCUGAUCAGCCAAAUGCUCUGACCACGGCCAUGUGCAUUAAGUAUACACCCACGAGAGCCUAAGCAUAUACUUAAUUGCACCAAAAUGUCCAUGAAGCCUACCCAACUGAUUUUCAGUUCCCAUUCAUUAUUUAUGAGACAGGUGAUAAGUUACACUGAAACGAUGCCAAUGAUAGUUGGCAUAUAACUAUGAUAAGACCUUUGGUGGUAUACGUUCCUCUUGUGUGAUUUCAAUUUCUUAAAAUAUGCUGUGAUUUUUUUCUGUCCCCAUUGAUUUACAGAUAAAAAUCUUUGUUUUCCACUUCUUUUUUCUCUGUGACUGCCCUCCAUUACACUUCAUCAUUAUUCUAUUUUCUUUCUUGAGCUCUAAUGGAAAAGACGGGAGUACCAUGACAGAAGGAAAAUAUAAAAACUCCAGUACCUACAUAGAAGUGCAACCUUGGAUGCUCUUCUAGGAAGACAAGACCCCAUCUAGAAGUGUGGUAACUGGAUAAAGAAUCAAAGCAUGGUUCCCUUCAAAGGUAGGCCCACUGGUCUUGCUGAGACCCUCCCUGACAACUUAACCCAGGAAUGAC
This 807-nucleotide long non-coding RNA is filed under the name Homo sapiens (human). Its description in RNAcentral is "HSALNT0024739". The record is from RNAcentral. Lineage: Eukaryota; Metazoa; Chordata; Mammalia; Primates; Hominidae.